GAGGACUCUGAUGAAGAAUGGACUCCAAGGCAGCAAGUGAAAUCUUCUUGGGUGACCUUCAGAAGGGAACAGAGUAAACACCAGAAGGUGUGGACACUGAAGACAACUAGCUACUGCUACAGCCUUAUUCAAACAAUUGGUGGGAACCAGCUCAUCUAAGUACAAAUAUUCUUUCCAAGGUAUUGCAAACAUUUAUCAUUUUAGCUAUUGUCUAGACAUGUUUCUGCCAACUAUUUAUUCUCUUCCCAAUAUCCUUCACUCUCAAUUUUAUAGAGACAGUUGAAAGAAAAGCCAUAAGCUAUGGAUUCUAAUCUUACAUUCAUUACCCACAUUGGCCCUAUACCCUCUAAUAUUCAUACUCCUGAGGUAUUUUCAAGGGUUCAAGUAUUAAAGACAUGCAUGUAAAUUAUAUGA
Long non-coding RNA from Artibeus jamaicensis (Jamaican fruit-eating bat), 414 nucleotides. RefSeq lists it as uncharacterized. NCBI's taxonomy places the organism in Eukaryota, Metazoa, Chordata, Mammalia, Chiroptera, Phyllostomidae. The transcript is spliced from 3 exons. The record is from RefSeq and is a predicted model, not a curated record.